UUCUGGCUCAGGAUGAACGCUAGCGACAGGCUUAACACAUGCAAGUCGAGGGGCAGCACGGGAGUAGCAAUACUUGGUGGCGACCGGCGCACGGGUGAGUAACGCGUAUGCAACCUACCUAUCAGAGGGGAAUAACCCGGCGAAAGUCGGACUAAUACCGCAUAAAACAGGGGCACCGCAUGGUGAUAUUUGUUAAAGAAAUUCGCUGAUAGAUGGGCAUGCGUUCCAUUAGGUAGUUGGUGAGGUAACGGCUCACCAAGCCGACGAUGGAUAGGGGAACUGAGAGGUUGGUCCCCCACACUGGUACUGAGACACGGACCAGACUCCUACGGGAGGCAGCAGUGAGGAAUAUUGGUCAAUGGGCGGGAGCCUGAACCAGCCAAGUCGCGUGAAGGAAGAAGGAUCUAUGGUCCGUAAACCUCUUUUGCAGGGGAAUAAAGUGCAGGACGUGUCCUGUUUUGUAUGUACCCUGAGAAUAAGGAUCGGCUAACUCCGUGCCAGCCGCGGC
RNAcentral lists this ribosomal RNA (508 nucleotides) under uncultured bacterium. Its description in RNAcentral is "bacterial SSU rRNA". It matches the Rfam family "Bacterial small subunit ribosomal RNA", at positions 17 to 518 of the family's 1533-position model. The record is from RNAcentral.